CCUACGGGCGGCAGCAGUGGGGAAUAUUGGACAAUGGGCGAAAGCCUGAUCCAGCCAUGCCGCGUGUGUGAAGAAGGCCUUCGGGUUGUAAAGCACUUUCAGUGGGGAAGAAAGCCUUGGGGCUAAUACCCUCGAGGAAGGACAUCACCCACAGAAGAAGCACCGGCUAACUCCGUGCCAGCAGCCGCGGUAAUACGGAGGGUGCGAGCGUUAAUCGGAAUUACUGGGCGUAAAGCGCGCGUAGGCGGUCUGAUAAGCCGGUUGUGAAAGCCCCUGGCUCAACCUGGGAACGGCAUCCGGAACUGUCAGGCUAGAGUGCAGGAGAGGAAGGUAGAAUUCCCGGUGUAGCGGUGAAAUGCGUAGAGAUCGGGAGGAAUACCAGUGGCGAAGGCGGCCUUCUGGACUGACACUGACGCUGAGGUGCGAAAGCGUGGGUAGCAAACAGGAUUAGAUACCCUAGUAGUC
Molecule: ribosomal RNA, 465 nt
Filed under: Vreelandella stevensii
Lineage: Bacteria; Pseudomonadati; Pseudomonadota; Gammaproteobacteria; Oceanospirillales; Halomonadaceae
Description: partial 16S ribosomal RNA
Rfam family: Bacterial small subunit ribosomal RNA
Source: RNAcentral